This 253-nucleotide ribosomal RNA is filed under the name uncultured bacterium. RNAcentral's name for it is "partial 16S ribosomal RNA". It matches the Rfam family "Bacterial small subunit ribosomal RNA", at positions 524 to 776 of the family's 1533-position model. The record is from RNAcentral.
UACGGAGGGGGCAAGCGUUGUUCGGAAUUACUGGGCGUAAAGGGCGCGCAGGCGGCUGCUCAAGUCAGGUGUGAAAGCCCCGGGCUCAACCUGGGAAUUGCAUUUGAGACUGCAUAGCUAGGGUGCGGAAGAGGGAAGCGGAAUUUCCGGUGUAGCGGUGAAAUGCGUAGAUAUCGGAAGGAACAUCAGUGGCGAAAGCGGCUUCCUGGUCCAGCACCGACGUUCAGGCACGAAAGCGUGGGGAGCAAACAGG